RNAcentral lists this long non-coding RNA (1737 nucleotides) under Salmo salar (Atlantic salmon). Its description in RNAcentral is "lncRNA (ENSSSAG00000096674.1)". Lineage: Eukaryota; Metazoa; Chordata; Actinopteri; Salmoniformes; Salmonidae. The record is from RNAcentral.
GGGUUACAAGUGCCUUUCCCAGCUGCUCCAGGAACACCCUGCUCUUGUCCAGCUUAUCAGGCAUCCAGGUAGGGUUGAUCUUGUUCCAUAUGAGGACACAUCAAUGAUGUUAUGGAAGAUGACCAGGGGCCAGCUGGCUGUCAUCCUCCUGCAGCUGUAAAGUGGAGCUGAGAACCAGUACUGAGGUAAAGGCUCAGUGUGAUCAGAAUGUGUCCCUGCAGUGUGACAUCAUGUCACCGAGCCCACUCAAGAUCAUUCUCUUUUCCUGGGUAAGGAAAGGGAAACAGCUGUGUGUGGUCAAUGCCACUGGUGUAUUCUCCUUUCCUGGCGUCCGGUGUGACAACACAAACAACACCCUCACACUCAAUCUGACUCGGGUGAUGCCGUCCAGUCAGGGUAACUACACCUGCAAACUGCGCUCCAACCUAACGAUCACAGCUGCCAACACCACUGUGACAAUGCAAGAGUGCCUAAGGACAUCUGAGCACAAAGUGUUCCAGAAUGAGUCUCAGGUUGAGUGCCAGUUAUUUGGAGUUUACCCAGAAGGCACAGUACACUGGUUCCUGGGCUCUGAGAAUAUAACAGAGUCCGCCAGCACAAAGAGCCAGCUGGAUGAAGAGGGGCUGUUUGAUAUAAGGAGUACCCUGCCUACCCAGGCUGGGACUGAGCCUUACAACUGCUCCUUGUGGAUACCUAGUAGUGGAACCUACAGCUCUCACAAACAGCUGCACUACUCCAGGGGGCUCUCUUCAGGGACAAAGACUAGGAGCAGACUGCUGUUGUUCUUCAUCCUGGUUGGACUCAUAAUCAUAAUUUAGGACUACUCAUGGGAAGGUCAGGAGUUUUUUUACUGAAUAUGGGACUUCGAACUACAGUAGGGCAAAGGGCUUUUCUGGUCAGGGCACAUCUACACAGGAUGGAUCAGGGCCUUUCUCUUACUGAGUGAAGAGAAAGCAAACCUGGACUGCCAUGGCCAAAGUAGAUAUAUGUUUUCACUUAUUAUACUGGGAAGCAAAAUAUCAAAGAAAUUGCAAUAAAUACAAUUGAAUUUUAAAGCUGAAAAUCAUUGUACAUUGGGAUUUGAGAAUACUGUAAGAAGUAUUCAUCCGUUCAUCGUUUGUCUUCAACGUUAUACACUUGCUUAAAUUGCAUUGCUUAUUACAGUAGUAGAGUACUGCUUCCUGGUGGUGAAAGUGUUUACUGAUGGAAAUAGUAUUGAUGUUAGAUGAGUAAUAAAGCUGUUCUAAAUUGUAUUGUUGAAUUGACUGAUCUUGCUUAUUAAGUCUGUCAUAUCUUGUUGCUGUGUUUUCCAGUCAGCACUGAUUAGACUGAUUAUAUAAUCAAUCAAUGCAAUGUCAAAACAUGGCUAGAAGGACAUGUUACUGUGUGUUCUGGAUUCUAAAAUACAACUUGAAUUGUACCAUAGCAAAUAUAGUCACCCGUGUUGUUUUCUGUACUAGUUCUCAAUUUAAAAAUGAACCAGACCACCCUGGGUACUCAUGACAUUGACAGUAAAAGAAUGAGGACUCAUGGUCAUUCAAAUUGCAUUUCUAGUUCCUUCUCAGUGUACCACAAGGGGGCAGAGUCAUCCCACCAGAGAGGACUGUCAAACCAAUCAUACACAACUCUUCUCCCUCUGCAUACAAACACACACUCAUGCUGUGUGAAUUCCAAUCCAACUGUUCUGUAUAAAUCAACACUUUGAUGUGACACAUUUCCUAUCAAUUUCCUCUACGC